GCCAAGGUAGCCUACCAUUAGCUUGUGUACAGACUCAACCCAAAUUUUUUAAAUCCCAACUUGAGUUGAAUUUUCUAUUGUACCCCAGCCUGUGUGCAGAUCAACUCAACCUGAAUUUUGUAAUUUUGAACACAAGUUGGAAUUUAAAAAAUUUGGGUUGAGUCUGCACACAUGCUAAUGGUACCUUGGC
Paramuricea clavata is the source of this 190-nucleotide non-coding RNA. The record is from the annotation of a GenBank genome assembly. Lineage: Eukaryota; Metazoa; Cnidaria; Anthozoa; Malacalcyonacea; Plexauridae.